GACACAGCUGAGGCCCUCAUGGGUUGGC
This 28-nucleotide non-coding RNA is filed under the name Rattus norvegicus (Norway rat). The record is from RNAcentral. Lineage: Eukaryota; Metazoa; Chordata; Mammalia; Rodentia; Muridae.